Chelonia mydas (Green sea turtle) is the source of this 1386-nucleotide long non-coding RNA. RefSeq lists it as uncharacterized. Lineage: Eukaryota; Metazoa; Chordata; Testudines; Cheloniidae. The record is from RefSeq and is a predicted model, not a curated record. The transcript is spliced from 3 exons.
UUGCAUAUGCAGUGGGGAGGAAGGAGAGGAGUUCUAUUUCCUAUGCCAUAGAUGUGUAAAUGCAAUGGAUGUGGGAACACGGAUUAUUAUAAUGACUGAUUACAGUGCAUUAAUAUGCAACGGGAGGGUGAUCUUUACAAGGACAUAGGACUAGCCUAUAUACUGAAUACCACAAAAGGUGAAUGAACACGAAUUUAGUUAUUUCGGUGCAUGUUUGUGUGCACAGCCCAUAGUUUCAAAUGCAAUGCAGUUGAUAGAUAUUUCUCUCCAGGAUUAAUGUAAAACCUAUUGUUUACAUUUGAACAGGAUGGGGAAAUUGGAAUAGGAUAUUAGGCAGCUGCAAGAGGCGAGCCACCUACCCUUGGAAAUUCACCGUGGUUACUCAUUGCCCUCUCUAACAGACCUCGUUCAAGAGAAACUUCUUAUGCUAAACAGAGCUGUAUCCAAUAUAUUUUUCUUCCAACAAAACAAUAAGAAGCUGGCUGGCGUGUUGUAUGUUGCCAUACCCCUAUACUGAAUAGAGUCAGGACUGCUCGAUGGAGUCAUAGGCCGUAUACAAACUGUUAAAUGUUGAUUCCCCUUAGUCCAGCAGGAUCUGAAAUCUACCACUGCCGUCACUGUGAAACCCUGCAUGCCAUUCUAUGCAGCGCAGCAAUGCCCAGGCACUGCCCAUGGUCAUGAAUUUAUUAGAGUCACAGCACUCUUAUUGUGACUUUCGUCCGGGGCUCUCACCACAUUUUGUGGGCAAUUACGCAGGCAACUGCUGCUGAUUACGAUAGUCAUAACCGUCUCACUUUGCCCUGUGCUUCCUCAAUCUCUUUUAUUGUUCUGUAGGGCAAAGACUAUCUUUCUGUGACCUGCCUAGCACAAUGGGACCCUGAUCCAGAGCCUCUAGGCACCCCCACAAUACAAGUCAUUAGUGAAUCCUCACAACUCCUCACAUGAGGCAGGCCAACAGAACUUAAUAGGGACACGUAAAGAGAAACUGUUACCCAUGGACCUCUCCAGGCCAACUGGCAAGGGGGAUACAAGAAUACCCUGAUUCAGGUCAUAUUUUCUAGACCUUCGAUCAUUUUUGUUGCUCUCCUCUGAACCUUCUCCAAUUUCUCCAUGUCUUUCCUGAAGUAUGCUGCCCAGAACUGACCACAAUACUCCAGUUGAGGCCUUGUUAGUGUUGAGCAGAGUGGAAGAAUUAUUUCUUGUGUCUUACUUACAACACUCUAAUAUAUCCCAGAAUGAUGUUUGGCUUUUUUGGAACGCUAUUGCAGUGUUGAUGUAUUUAGUUUGUGAUCCACUAUAAUCCCUAGAUCCUUUUCUGCAGCACUCCUUUCUAGGCAGUAAUUUCAUUUCUCAUUUUGUAUUUGUGCAAUUCAUUAUUCCUUCCUA